GAUGGGAGGAUGUAGGGCAAAGGAGGAAGCCAAUACACAAAAUGAGCAAGUGUAGAGAGUCAAUGUACAACAUGAGAAUUAUAGGUAAUGAAAAUGCAGUGUAUUUGGGAUUCAUGAAAAGUGAAUAGAUUUUAGCUAAUCUAGCCAAACAGGUGAAGAAUUGGGUAACUAUAGGAGAUGAUUGCUAUGUUAAUUUGCUUCACUAUAUAGACUUUUUACUAUCAAUAUGCACCCCAUAACAUCAUGUCAUAUGCCUUAAUUAUAGAGAAUAAAAGUCAUUUGGAAAAAAAGCCAUAAUUUGCACCAUGUUGUGAAUUCAGCAUUCAUAAAUGUGUAAGACAUUUUGAGUGCUGAAAAUUUAAGAAAGGCUUUAGGUGAAAACUAUUAGUAUUUAUAUCUAGCAACUUGCUUUUCUUUGAAAUGAAGAAAUUAAUUUCUUCUCAUUAUGUAUAAGGUGUUUCUGAUUGCUAUUUUGGAGUAAGGUUAGAAUAUUUAAACUUAGGGUUUUAAAAUUUAUCAUUUUGGAUGAAAUAUUUCCUUGGACUUUUAAAGUAACCUCUACUUUGGGUUUAUUAAGUUCUUUGACUUUAUAAGUACUUUAUUAAGUAUAUAAAGUUUAGUCUUCAAAGUUAUGAUGAUGUUUUACAAGAAUCAGGAACAUGCCAGAACUGUUAGUUGAUAAAAAUGAAUAUAGACCUCUGGCUUUUGCUGUAUGUAGUUUGGCUCUUGUAUGUCCUCAAAAGUGUCCUCCAAGGGUCCAUGUCAUAAAGGCUUGGUCCCCAGCCUUUGGUACUGUUGGAAAGUGGUGGACCUUUAGGAAGUGGGACCCAGUGGUAGGAAGUUAGGCCACAGGGGUGUGUUCUUGAAAGGGAUAUUGACAUGAAACCCCUUCUUGUCUCUGUCUUUCUCUUCCUGGGCACCAUAAGUCAAGCAUUGUUUCCACAAUGGUGUGCCUGUCACUGGUCCAAAGCAAUGAGCCAACCAACCAUCGAUGGAGACUUCCAGAACCAUGAGCUAUGUAUAAGUGUUUUAACUCAAAUAUUUUGUCACAGCAAAGGAAAACUAACACAGUUUUUUAACCCUUAAAUAUUUUCCUUUUAACCAUAUUUAGCAGCACUAACACCUUUACUUUCCUUUUUUUGAAGGUGGUAGUGGUAAAUUUUGGUUAAAUUAAAUUUCCACAACUUUCCUAAAGUAAAAUACAUUAGUCUGUUAAUUGUAAUUUUCAUACAUAUUUCAAUUUCUGCAAAACAGUAAAUUUAUGUUUAUCAGAGCUUUGAAUGUUGAAAUUUAACAUAUGCUACUAAUUAUACUUGCAAAAAUGUUGGUUGUCUUUAUUAAAAAUUAUUUGAAUGGUUAAUGUUCUGCCUUAUUUUUUGUCCCAGGGAUAUUUUCACCAGUAAGUAUGCAUUUUUUAUUUUUAUGCAAAUAAAUGUGACAAUAGGUUUAAUAGAAAUUUGUCUUGCAAGAAAUUUUAAGGGAUAUAUUUAUUUGCAUAUUAAAUAUGGCUGAAUAGUAUCCUUUUUCCAGGACAGUUGACUUUCAAGGCCUCUUUUAGAAGGACAUGCUUUCUAAAGUACUUCAGAACUUUAAAGAGAUUACAUGCAAGCUGUUAAGUGUUUUAGUGUAUCUAAUAAUGAAAACAUUGACUAAAGAAAGUCACACUUUGACACCCUAGUUAGCAAGACAUUCUGACUUAAAUUGCAUGUAUAGGGUCCCAAUACUCAUUGUGUUCCAAGCCAACUCAUUUAUCUAGGUUUUAGAAACCUGAAUAUCAUUUUCUUUUGCACUUUACUAUCUUAAUAUUCACCAGUCUUUCAAGCAAUUAGAGAUUCCUGCUAGUAAACUUAGAUUUUUAGUUUCUGUUUCUAGUAACUCUUACUAAAUCUGUAUUCUUUAACAAAUGAUUACUUCAACAGUCUUCACUUUCACCUUGGAUGUCUUUUCCUGGCUUCCAGUGCAGACCUUUCAGGCUCCUGAUAUGGAUUCACACAGGACACUACAGGGAGCUCCAGGCCUUCAACCUUUGACUGGAUCCUUCAGAUCUCCAGUGUUCAGACAACACUUUUGCACUCUUCCACACAUGACUCUUUGGUUGAAUCCACACAUUAAUCUUAUCCAGAUAUGGAAGGUGGACUAUAUUGUCAAGAAUCUGAUUCCAAUUUGAUCUUCUCUACCUUAUAGGGUCUUGUUAAGUCACUCUGUUGUCCAGGCUGGACCCAAGCUAGUGAUCCUCCUGCUUCAGCGUCCCAGAGUGCUGGUAUUACAGGAUCUGGCACUUUGGGACUUCCAGAUCAUCACCAUUCAAAGUGACCAUGAAAGGUAAAUGUUUUGAAAUGACUCAGGACAUUGAGGUAGCCUGGAAAGCACAACUAUAUACACUCACAAAAGAGGACUUCCAGAACUUCUUCCAGAACUUCUUCAGAAAGUGGCAAGAAAGUUGGGAUAAAUGUGUUCUAAUUGAGGGAUUAAUGGCAAUGUGUCUUUUACUGUAAUAAAUGUUUUCAAGGAAACAUGUAAACAUUCAUUGUAUUUUUUGAUCAUACCUCAUAGAAACUCUGUGGCUUAUAAACAAUAUUAGCUCAUUUCCCACAAUUCUGGAUGUUUAGAAGUCUAAGAUGCAAGCUAUAGUAUAUUUGGUAUCUAGUGAGGGACAACUUUCUGGGUCAUAGGUAGUGGUUUUCUGAUGUGUCCUCACAAGGUAGAAAGGGGAACAGUUAUCUCAGGCCUCCUUCACAAGAGCACUGAUUCCAUUCAUGAGGGCAUCUUCAUGACUCCAUGUCUUCCAAAAGCCUCCACAUCUAAACACCAUUAGCUUGGGGGUUAAGAUUUCAACACAUGACAUUGGAAAUAAGGGACACUAUCCUUAAUAUUACAGUGGAUAGUGAUGUUUUUGCAAACCACAUUAUUUAGUGUCAAUUUGUAAAAUAAUAACAAUCUAAUGAGUGAAGAAUUUUUAAAAGCCAUCGGAAAAAAAAAGAAUUAAAAACAUCAUAACACAAUGAUAUAUGGACACCCAUGUUUAUAGGGGCACAGUAGUAGCUAAACCUUGGAAACAGCCCUAAUGCCCAUCAACCAGUGAAUGGAUAAAAAAAGAUUUUUUUUUUUAUAUAUACAACGGAGUAGUACUUAGCCAUAAAGAAAGACAAACUUGAGACAUUUAUAGCUAAAUGGAUGCAACUUGAGACUAUAUUCUUAAGUGAAAUAAAUUGGACAUAUAUGUGAAAAAAAGCCACCAGAAAUAGUGAUUUUGUUUAUUUUUUAAAAUCAUUCAAAUGAGGUGUCCAAAGGUGUUUGCUAAAUAAAAAAGACAAAAAAAAUAUGAUAAUGGAAGUAUUCAGUUUAGCUGAUUUAUUUGAACCCUAGAUUGGCAUGCCAAACCUUAGAUUCAGGUUUUCUUUUCCUUUUUUUUUUUUUUUUUGGUACCAGGGAUCAGACUCAGGAACUUGCACCUGUGCACUUGCAAGGCAGGAGGCGGAACCACUGAGCUAAAUCCCCGGCUCUGAUCCAGCUUUUUCUGAGAACAUGUUACCCCUCACUUUAUACGAAUCUGAUACUUCUGUGGACAUAAAGAAUAAAAUAACUGUUAAUAAAGUAUCUUUUAAUUAUGAAAAGGAUACGAUGCGAAAGAAGCAACACACUAUUUACAAAUAUUCUAAGACAUUGGCACUGAGAGGCAUACCACAGGAAGGUGCUAUAUUGGGUUUCAAAGAACUACAUAUUAAACAAUGAUGAAAUCUGUCUCUCCUUAGAGAGUUGUUACCAGCUGUGUUCAGCAAGUGGUGGAUUAUUUUAAGCUUUUAGGUUUCUUGACUGAAGUUGAAAAUAGCUUGAGAUUAUCAAGCAGAAAUCCUUGUCCUUCUCAUUGAAAUAUGCAAACCUAGAAGAUAUGUGAAAUUACAACAGCACUGUAAACAGGUGUAUUAGUCUAUGAUCUGGUAGACUUUUAGAUGAAUGCAAAUUAACUAAAAUACCCUGAAAAGACUUGGGGAAAAAUAAUGGCUCUGGGAAAUGUUUUUUCUUGUUAAUUUUUAUUGAAGUGAAAUUCAUGUCACAUACAAUCAAAUAUUUGAUAAUGUUUUGUCUCUGAUUAUAGCCAUUCUAACUGGGAGGACAUGAUAUCUCACUGUGGUUUUGAUUUGAAUUUUCCUGAUGAUUGAUUAUGUUAAACAUAUUCUUUUAUAUAUUUAUUGAACAUUGGUAUAUCUUCUUUUCAGAAAUGUCUUACUAUUAUUGGCUCAUGUUAAAAUCACACUACUUGUUUUCUUACUAUUGAGUGCUUUGUAUUCUGUAUGUGUUCUGUGUAUUAAUCCCUUGGUACAGGAAUACUCUAGUCUUGUGAGUGGUUUGUUUAUGUGCUGUGCUUUACAGGAGUGUCUUAGUUUUGUAUAGUUUUACAUAGUAUUAUAUAGUCUCACAUGUCUAGGUUUGCUUUUGUUGCUUGCACUUCUGGAAUAUUAUUCAAAGAACCACUAUCUAUAUCGGGGUCUUAAAGUGUCACUCUUGUUUUCUUGUAGUUUCAAACAGUGUUUUUUAACCACUUCUGCUCUGUUUUUCUCAGUUUACUUAGAAAUUAACUGGACAAUUGUAGGAGGAACUAUAAUUGCAGGAUGUUACUGAUAUAUCCUGCAAUGUGUAGGAUAGUCCACUACCAUAAAGAUUUAUUGAAGUUAGAUUCCAAUAAUACUUUUCUCACUGAGACACACUGUGAAUGAAGAUUUCAAAUUUCACAUUGGAUUGACCAAAAGAAAGUAUUUUCAAACUCUGUUAAAAUAGCUUUAAAUAGUACCUGAGAUUGUUUUGCAACCUUCUUUCCAAUCAAACUAAUUUUCCUUUGAAUAAGUAACUAAAAUGAGCCUAAUUCUUACCAAUAUACACAAAAGAAUGAUUUUCUGUAGUUAUAAAUUUAUAUUUUAUUAGAAAAAUUAGAGCUUAAUUACUCAAAACUGAUUGAUGUCAGCCUUGGCCUUCUAGAAAGCUAUACAUUGUUAGGAAAUAAACUCUGUAUUUAAUGGGCAUAGUGUCUUUCCAAAUUUCUAUAGAAACAUUAGUCAUAGAGACCAAAUAGAUUUUUUUUGUUAUCAUUUAUUAGAAGUAGAAUGUGAAUAGAGAAAGAGAAUAUUUCCCUUUCUUGAAGCCAUGUGCCUCCCAAAGUCUCUGGACUACAUAUAGUAGCCAUAAAUUGUCCAUAGGUUCUUGAGGUAAGGAGCUGUUCCUUCUUAGCCCUGUAAUAUAUGCCAUGAGAGUGACCAUUGUUGACUACCUACUACUACUGGGUUUUCCUGGAAAAGGAAGCUUUGAUAGACGCUCUCUAAACCCAGGACCCUCUAUUUCAGUUGCCCACAUGCCCUGUGACACAGCAUCUUACAGGCUCAGGAUGGCUGUAAAGUCUUCCUUGCUCCAAAAUGGAGCCAAACACACCCUCUGGCAUAUCUCAUCUGUGGAGUCAGCGGUCCCCUUUGUCCUCAGUCUCUUAAAGAUGACAUGGCACCAAGGAAACUUGCCUUUGCCCCUAGACCCCUUAUGCACCUGAACAGCCUCUUGAAAUUAACUGAGUGAACAGUCAUAUGCACUUGUUGGUUCUCCAUCAUAUAUGAUGGAGCUAUGGAAUAUUGCUGGUUUUCAUCCAUUAAGGAGAAUUUCCUUGAUAAUGGGUAGGACUCAGAGGCCUUAUAUGCCUGGCCGAACUCUAGACUGUAAUCAUAACACUGGCUCCUCUGGGCAGCAACUGGUCCCAUCAGUGCAUUUUAUGUAUCCAAUAUUCCCCUAGAUCACUCCUACAUCAAAUUCAAGAACUCUGAGAACCUCUUACCUCUCAGAUACCCAGAAUAUAAACCAAAGUAACAGAUAUAGCUAUGUUCUAAGGACACAAUAUGAGAUCUCACAGGGACACUCCUUUUCCCCUUCAGAGCCAGAUAUUACAUACAGUCACUAAGGUACUUAUUUUGCUUCUCAAAACACACAAUGCAGUGCUUUUAAAGAAGGACUCCUACCUCCUCUAUAGGCUCCAGGAAAUGCUUGACUAGAGAAAGAUAAUGAGAUCCUCCAAAAAUUCCUAUUUAAAUUACAAAAUUCCAAGUGGUUGCCCUGCUGCAUUUCUUAUUGCCACAGGCAUUGCUUAGAAACAGAUGCUCUUUUCAUCAGUGUUACACAAUUUUCUUAACUGUCUUAUACGGUCAAUGAGAGCAUCAUCUCUAAAGUUCACAUUUUGACAUCCACCUGCCCCCUGAGCCACCCAGAGGUGGUGAGUGUCUUCCAUACUGAAGUCACUGUUGCUUGUGGAUCAAUAAGAAUGAUUCAACAACUUAUAAGAAAAAUAAAAACCCAUAUAUGAGUAACACAAAAUGUUUCCCAAAUCCUAAAAAACAAAAAAAGCCAAGGCUAUGCUGCCAGAGGACUCAUAUAUUCUUUUCUGCAGUUUGCUAAACAAAUGGGGUCAGUAGCUUUUCAUGAGCUUGAAAAUCUAUUGCUCAUAAUUCUGACCAUUCUAAUCCUCUCUCAUCUUUAAAUAUUUAUUGUGAUUAAUUUAUUGUGUGUCUCAGAAGUCCUCUUUUUCAACCUCUCAAGAUAUUAGUCAUCAGCACGGUAUUUGAGUCAUCAAAUGUGUCAGUUGUAUUAUGAAUCCUAAAAUUUCAUGUGCCAUUAGACCAGUGCUCAAUCUAAUAGCUUUCACUUUGGUGUCAGGUACAAAAUUACUUAAAUUAGUCAUGCACAUCCUGCCGAGGGAACAAGGGGUCACUGAAUCUCCUGUUUACUGUGAGGUCUGCCUGCCACAUCCUCUACAUGUUCAUUCUGUUCCCAAGUGCAACUCCCAUGUAGACCUGCCUAGUGCUCUAUGUUACCCUCUCUUGGGCUUUGAGUAUUCAUGACCAAAAAUCUCCUGUUAAUUUAAUCUCUUUAAUUUUGUGUGUUGUGUGUUCAUCCACUCCCUUGAACCUUGAGGCUGAAUUUCCUCCUUCACCAACAGAGAAUAGAGGAGACCAACAAAAUAGGAUCUCACUGCCUUAAAAUCCCUCUCCUGUCUCUUAAUUAUAUAAUGCAUGCCAUUUUCCCCAUAGGUCUUUUGGUCUGUCCAUGCUGUGAAGCCAGAUGAGGUAUUGCAUCCUUCCUAAUCUCAGAGGAUGGUUGGGGAACACUAAAUCAUAAAAUUUCCAUAGUGAUGACAUAAUUUUAUCUUAUGCCUUCAAUCUUCUCUUCUUCCUCAACUUCAUGCUUGGUAGGUUGUACCUGAUAAUUUUUGCAGAUUGUUGGAAAGGUGAAAAAAAGUUUUUACUCAUGAUGCGGCUUCAGAAAACUCCAUGGAAAAAUUUUACUUGAAUAAUCAACUUUCUCUUUUUCCCAGAAAUUACCAACUCUUAGAGACAACUUUCUGUGUUCUGCAAAGAUAGUUUAGCUUUUCUCUUACUUUCCCUCAAACAAAUACAUUACGUGUACUUCUUGUGUAUAGUAAUUUUUUUUUGGUACCAGAGGUCAAACUCAGUUCCUUGAGCUUGAGAGGCUGGCGCCAGAACCGCUGAGCUAAAUCCCGGCCCCUUUUGUAUAGUAUUGAUUGACAGCCAGAUGUGGAAAAGUUCCUUGACUUUAAAUCAAUAUUCAUUAUAGAACAUGGUGUAAUCACAGAAACAAAUCUUUGGCUAGAAAGAUUUAUGAUUAAAUGAGUUAAUAGUAGCUAAUUGUACACUUUCUAUAGGGAAGAAUCUUCACAUGUGCUAUUUCAUUUCCUACUUAAAACAAAAGGAAAAUCCUAAAAUGACCCCUUUCUUCACUUUAUAUAUGACAAAAUUGAGGCCUAGCAAAGUUAAGUAACUCACUUCAAAGUUCUCAGUCAGAAGCAAAGCCAAGUCCAAAAGCAAGUUGUUUGAUUUCAGAUCUCAAAUACUUUAAUACUUUUACCAUAGAAUUUUCUGAAGUAACAUCAUGAAUAAAAACUUUUUAUCAUCUCCCAACAAUCUGCAAAAAUUAUCGAACACAACCUGCUGAGCAUUAAUACUCUCCCUUCAUUACAAUGACUAGUGGAAAGAAUGCUACAUAUGCUGUGUGGCAGUGCUUCUCUGUCGUUAAUGUAUACAUGAGUUACUAGGGCACCCUAUUGACAUGCAAGCCCACAGACACACUUUAACUAGCAAGGACAAGAGAUCAGAGAAUGGAAAUGAGAGUUUAGAAAGCAAUGCUGAGAUUCUCCUGCUGAUUUGGACACUGCUUCAACUCCUUGCUGGAAAAGAAUUGCACAUCAAAAGUUAAAAUCGAUAUAAAAUAGUGGUUUUAUUCUGGACAUUAUACUAGACACUAAAUAUAAAAAAUGUUCCAUUGUCUCUAAAUGUAAGGAACCUCUAGAGCAAUAGACUCUGAAUCCAAUGUGUUGUUUCCAUUCUGAUCAGAAUGCAUGAAUGUUAUCAAACAUAACUAACACCAUUUUCACAUAACUAACAGCAGCAUAUCUCCAUGGUAUGAUUUGUCCUGCUUCUGAAAAAUUACCUUCCUACAUUAUAAACACUAUCAAUGGUUAUAAUGUUUCAUUCUUUCAUCCAACUAUCCCUAAAUUCUAUUGAAAUAAAAACAUAAAACAUAAUCUUAACGUAUUAAUAUAUAUUUGUGAUGAAAUUGCAUUACUUUUCAUACUCUUACAAUUUUCUCCCAAUUUAUAGAAUAUGUUGGUUAAAAUAAUUAAUUUUAACCAUACAUCUCUAUUAUAAACUUCAUUAUAUGUCUGUGAGUCAUUAAAAAAUAUAUGCUGUUAUAAAAUUUGUAUUCUGGACAGUGUGGCUACUUCCUCUCUCUCAAUUUUAUUAAUUAGGCUACAAAUAUGAAUAAACCAGCUAGUGUAAUGGAUAAAAACUACCAUCAUCAUUAAGGAGAACAAGAAAUCUGUAAAAAUAAGAAUAAUCCAAAUUUAUCUAUUAAAACUGGAUCAUAAAACAGCCCCAAAAUACUAACUAAAAACAAAAUGAAAUAACAUGAACUAAAAAAAACAGUUCAAGUUAUUCACAUCUAUCUUAGAUACAAAUGUUAAUGAAAUACAAGUAUUCACAUACCAUAGGUAGCUUCAUAAUUCUGGAAACAAAAUCCAUUUUCCUGCAAGUGCAAGGUCCCGAGUUCGAUCCCCGGUACCAAAAAAAAAAAAAAAUCCAUUUUCCUAUCAAGUUCUAGAAAAAUCUAUCAUAUCAUAGAAUCUGAUGCUGAUAUGAAAAAAUAAGUACAAUAAUCAAAUCUGAAAGUGAAUACAAGUUCAGAGAAAUGUAUAGUGUAAGUGAACAAAAGUUCAUUGUUAAUCUUAUAGAAUUAGGCUUAUUUAUGUAUUUAUUAUUUAUUUAUUUUUGUUCAUGAAAAGAUUCAAGUCAACCUACACAACUACUUCAUAAGAAUUUCAUGUAAGGAAACUAUGGGAUAAAUAUUCAGAUAUACAUUGCUACAAAUGAUUACAUGACAUUAUGUAUUCUAUUGUAUCUAGCAGUACAUUUUCCAUUGAUUUAGAUACUGACUCCUAUCUUAUCAGCCUUGUUUCAGUAUUUACAAAAUUGAAUACUCAAUAAGCUCUGAUUAUAAUGAAUUUGGAUAUUGCUUAUUGACAUCUCAGUCAAACUGCAGUCAUACUUUUCAGUAGACCCCAUGAAUUGUUUUAAAGAAACCUAAUAUAUUUACUCACGUCUUUAUGUUCUCAGACAAUGGCAGUGAUACAUUUUGUAUGAGUGUGUGUGUGUGUGUGUGUGUGUGUGUGUAUUUUGUGGUUCCUUGCCCAGUUUCUGUGAUAUCUGAUGCUAGCAGAAGUUUAAUAUAAAUAACAUCUAACAAUGUUAGAAACCUUGACUUUUAUGUAUCUGUUAGGUGAUAGAAGGUAGAUAGAAAUUUGCAUUAUGAGAAUACAUAUGGUUUGACAGACUAUUCAUUUCACGCUUUUCUAACAGAGAUGAUACCCAAGAGUUAUGUUUAAAAGUCACCAAAAAUAGGACAUAUAUUUUAUGUUUUUAGAUGAAAAAAAUAACACUAAUCAG
This 9989-nucleotide long non-coding RNA is filed under the name Heterocephalus glaber (naked mole-rat). RNAcentral's name for it is "lncRNA (ENSHGLG00000036333.1)". Lineage: Eukaryota; Metazoa; Chordata; Mammalia; Rodentia; Bathyergidae. The record is from RNAcentral.